Molecule: ribosomal RNA, 625 nt
Filed under: uncultured Methylobacterium sp.
Lineage: Bacteria; Pseudomonadati; Pseudomonadota; Alphaproteobacteria; Hyphomicrobiales; Methylobacteriaceae
Description: bacterial SSU rRNA
Rfam family: Bacterial small subunit ribosomal RNA
Source: RNAcentral
AGAGUUUGAUCAUGGCUCAGAGCGAACGCUGGCGGCAGGCUUAACACAUGCAAGUCGAGCGGGCACUUCGGUGUCAGCGGCAGACGGGUGAGUAACACGUGGGAACGUGCCCUUCGGUUCGGAAUAACUCAGGGAAACUUGAGCUAAUACCGGAUACGCCCUUUUGGGGAAAGGUUUACUGCCGAAGGAUCGGCCCGCGUCUGAUUAGCUUGUUGGUGGGGUAACGGCCUACCAAGGCGACGAUCAGUAGCUGGUCUGAGAGGAUGAUCAGCCACACUGGGACUGGGACACGGCCCAGACUCCUACGGGAGGCAGCAGUGGGGAAUAUUGGACAAUGGGCGCAAGCCUGAUCCAGCCAUGCCGCGUGAGUGAUGAAGGCCUUAGGGUUGUAAAGCUCUUUUGUCCGGGACGAUAAUGACGGUACCGGAAGAAUAAGCCCCGGCUAACUUCGUGCCAGCAGCCGCGGUAAUACGAAGGGGGCUAGCGUUGCUCGGAAUCACUGGGCGUAAAGGGCGCGUAGGCGGCCGAUUAAGUCGGGGGUGAAAGCCUGUGGCUCAACCACAGAAUUGCCUUCGAUACUGGUUGGCUUGAGACCGGAAGAGGACAGCGGAACUGCGAGUGUAGA